This 791-nucleotide long non-coding RNA is filed under the name Chinchilla lanigera (long-tailed chinchilla). RNAcentral's name for it is "lncRNA (ENSCLAG00000028082.1)". Lineage: Eukaryota; Metazoa; Chordata; Mammalia; Rodentia; Chinchillidae. The record is from RNAcentral.
GCCUUUUUGUAGUGAGAACACUUCAAAUUUCUUAGCAAAUAUUCAAUAAUACAGUACAUUAUUCCUAACUGUAGCCAUGUUAUACAAUAGGUAUUUUGAAACAUUUACUAUAUUUGCUGUACUUAGUUAUGAUAUUAAAAAUGAACACUGAGAAAUUUUUUGAAUUCUCAUUUAAAAUAUCAGUACUUAUUACACAACAUAAUUUAUGAAAGUGACUGUUUUUCCAAACAAAUUAGGAAGAGAAAUAAUGGUGUUUCAUUUUGGUAAAUUUCUUUAAUGUCCGACUUAGCAGAAUGCAGCUGGAUCCUCAUCUCUGCUUUUGCCUUCAGCCUCUCACGGACCGCGCCCCAUUGGGUGACCUGUAGAAAAUUCUCUUGUACAGUCGGAAGAGCAUGAAUGUGGGAAGGCAAUAAUAUCUCAGCAUUAUUAUGAAAAUAGUGUUGACCUUGGAAAUCCGGUUUGAGAAUUGCUGAAUUAGAGAGGCAUUACAAAGGCUCUUCUUAAGUUUGCUGAUGACGGGCUCAGGGAAAGAGAAGCUGACAUCAGCACCUUGUAGCUCCGGGACCGUGACUGACACAGACACUUAAGAGCACCAUGCUGGUUUUGGCAUUGGAUGAGUGUGACAAGAAGAAAGAAAUCGAAAGCCUGUCCAGGAGAGUGGGAAAGCCUGCAUGAUGCAUUAGAGUGCAAGGAAACACUGCUAUGUUUCUGGUCUCCCGAGGCAGUGCUCAUUCUCCUGGACCUAGCCCUGCCCUGCUUACAGCGCUCUGCACUGGUUGCGCCACAUCCUA